UACGUAGGGCGCAAGCGUUGUCCGGAAUUAUUGGGCGUAAAGAGCUCGUCGGCGGUCUGUCGCGUCGGAUGUGAAAACCCAGGGCUCAACCCUGGGCCUGCAUUCGAUACGGGCAGACUAGAGUUCGGUAGGGGAGACUGGAAUUCCUGGUGUAGCGGUGAAAUGCGCAGAUAUCAGGAGGAACACCGGUGGCGAAGGCGGGUUGCUGGGCUGAUACUGACGCUGAGGCGCGAAAGCCAGGGGAGCGAACGGG
Molecule: ribosomal RNA, 253 nt
Filed under: uncultured bacterium
Lineage: Bacteria
Description: partial 16S ribosomal RNA
Rfam family: Bacterial small subunit ribosomal RNA
Source: RNAcentral